Molecule: non-coding RNA, 130 nt
Organism: Triticum aestivum (bread wheat)
Lineage: Eukaryota; Viridiplantae; Streptophyta; Magnoliopsida; Poales; Poaceae
Source: Rfam
CAAGUACUCCCUCCGUCCGGAAUUACUUGUCAUCAAAAUGGAUGUGUCUAGAACUAAAAUACAUCUNACUAAAAUACAUCUAGAUACAUCCAUUUCAAUGACAAGUAUUUUCGGACGGAGGGAGUACAAG